RNAcentral lists this ribosomal RNA (693 nucleotides) under Thalassotalea sp. 1_MG-2023. RNAcentral's name for it is "partial 23S ribosomal RNA". It matches the Rfam family "Bacterial large subunit ribosomal RNA", at positions 2238 to 2925 of the family's 2925-position model. Lineage: Bacteria; Pseudomonadati; Pseudomonadota; Gammaproteobacteria; Alteromonadales; Colwelliaceae. The record is from RNAcentral.
AUCGGGCUUGGGGACACUGUCUGGUGGGUAGUUUGACUGGGGCGGUCUCCUCCCAAAGAGUAACGGAGGAGCACGAAGGUUGGCUAAGUACGGUCGGACAUCGUACGGUUAGUGCAAUGGCAUAAGCCAGCUUAACUGCGAGACAGACACGUCGAGCAGGUGCGAAAGCAGGUCAUAGUGAUCCGGUGGUUCUGUAUGGAAGGGCCAUCGCUCAACGGAUAAAAGGUACUCCGGGGAUAACAGGCUGAUACCGCCCAAGAGUUCAUAUCGACGGCGGUGUUUGGCACCUCGAUGUCGGCUCAUCACAUCCUGGGGCUGAAGUCGGUCCCAAGGGUAUGGCUGUUCGCCAUUUAAAGUGGUACGCGAGCUGGGUUUAGAACGUCGUGAGACAGUUCGGUCCCUAUCUGCCGUGGGCGUUUGAGAAUUGAAGAGGGCUGCUCCUAGUACGAGAGGACCGGAGUGGACGAACCUCUGGUGUUCGGGUUGUCAUGCCAAUGGCAUUGCCCGGUAGCUACGUUCGGAACUGAUAACCGCUGAAAGCAUCUAAGCGGGAAACAGGCUUUGAGAUGAGUUCUCACUGGAGAUUUAAUCUCCCUAAAGGGUCGUUGGAGACUACAACGUUGAUAGGUCAGGUGUGUAAGGGUUGUGAGGCCUUGAGCUAACUGAUACUAAUUGCCCGUGAGGCUUAACCAU